AGAGUGCUGCUGGAGCUGGGGAAGAAGAGCAGGGGAGUCCGGACAGUUAGGCGAAGGGUGGCCUGAGGGAAAUGAUGAGAAGUGGAGGGGGAGAUAAAACAGAACACUACCAUUUUGGUUCCGUUCAACUUCCGUGGGAGUUGUGGUGGCAAACAUAAGAAAAUCAGGUCAUCGUUGCGUGCAUGCAGCGAGGGCCGGGCGGAGCGAAAACGUAGAAAAGGCCUAUCAGAAGGCAGCCUUUUGUGCGGUUCCUCGUUAGUAUAGUGGGCUAGAGGAAGAGAAACUUAUGAAAUAAACCAGGAAGAGCCAGCCAUCAAUACCAGAUGCAGUCCAGAGGACCACCGAGGUAAGCCUGAUUGCAAGCUUUGUUGGACCUGUUUCUUUCUGACUCAGAGAUUCCAGCUCAGCUUCCAUUUUUCCCACUAAGUAGGCGGUGACAUUUCAUCACAGCAGGUACUUAUACCUUUUGUUCUGAUGACUUAAAGCACAAGCAGGUUUUGAUAAGUGUUUGCAGGGUUUCAUUUUCAAAAGUCCUAUUUCUGUGUCAUAUUUGUUGGCUUUGAUCCCAGCUUCUCUUGCUCUGCCAACAGAGCAGGUUAUCCCCAUUUGCCCGCAGAAAUAACAUUUUCAUGAGCAAAGGCCAACCCAAAAUGCUUUCCUCCUAAAUGUUCUUUUCAUCUACAAAUCCAUGUUUGAGGAACUAUUAUUUUGUAAUUUCUUACAAAAGGCUUCUUUUAUUUGAAAUUCAGAGUUGAGUAAACCGGUGGAAGAGACUCACAUGGUUCACUCACCCUCUGCCCUCUCCGGCACAUGUGUCUCAGGAUUUCUUAAACCCAGCU
This is a long non-coding RNA of Cercocebus atys (sooty mangabey), 839 nucleotides long. RefSeq lists it as uncharacterized. The transcript is spliced from 3 exons. The record is from RefSeq and is a predicted model, not a curated record. Lineage: Eukaryota; Metazoa; Chordata; Mammalia; Primates; Cercopithecidae.